This 253-nucleotide ribosomal RNA is filed under the name uncultured bacterium. RNAcentral describes it as "partial 16S ribosomal RNA". It matches the Rfam family "Bacterial small subunit ribosomal RNA", at positions 524 to 776 of the family's 1533-position model. The record is from RNAcentral.
UACGGAGGGUGCAAGCGUUAUCCGGAGUCACUGGGUUUAAAGGGUGCGUAGGAGGGCAGGUAAGUCAGUGGUGAAAUCUCCAAGCUUAACUUGGAAACUGCCGUUGAUACUAUCUGUCUUGAAUAUUGUGGAGGUGAGCGGAAUAUGUCAUGUAGCGGUGAAAUGCUUAGAUAUGACAUAGAACACCAAUUGCGAAGGCAGCUCGCUACACAUAUAUUGACUCUGAGGCACGAAAGCGUGGGGAUCAAACAGG